AGCGAACGCUGGCGGCAGGCUUAACACAUGCAAGUCGAGCGGGCACUUCGGUGUCAGCGGCAGACGGGUGAGUAACACGUGGGAACGUACCCUUCGGUUCGGAAUAACGCUGGGAAACUAGCGCUAAUACCGGAUACGCCCUGUUGGGGAAAGGUUUACUGCCGAAGGAUCGGCCCGCGUCGGAUUAGCUAGUUGGUGGGGUAAUGGCCUACCAAGGCGACGAUCAGUAGCUGGUCUGAGAGGAUGAUCAGCCACACUGGGACUGAGACACGGCCCAGACUCCUACGGGAGGCAGCAGUGGGGAAUAUUGGACAAUGGGCGCAAGCCUGAUCCAGCCAUGCCGCGUGAGUGAUGAAGGCCUUAGGGUUGUAAAGCUCUUUUGUCCGGGACGAUAAUGACGGUACCGGAAGAAUAAGCCCCGGCUAACUUCGUG
Molecule: ribosomal RNA, 433 nt
Filed under: uncultured bacterium
Lineage: Bacteria
Description: partial 16S ribosomal RNA
Rfam family: Bacterial small subunit ribosomal RNA
Source: RNAcentral